RNAcentral lists this non-coding RNA (45 nucleotides) under Schistosoma haematobium. Lineage: Eukaryota; Metazoa; Platyhelminthes; Trematoda; Strigeidida; Schistosomatidae. The record is from RNAcentral.
AUCGAGACGACGAGUCCCAAAUAGGACGAAACGUGCAUCCUGGAU